This 42-nucleotide ribosomal RNA is filed under the name Russula sp. S132. RNAcentral describes it as "partial 5.8S ribosomal RNA". The record is from RNAcentral. Lineage: Eukaryota; Fungi; Basidiomycota; Agaricomycetes; Russulales; Russulaceae.
CGCCCUUUGGCAUUCCGAGGGGCACACCCGUUUGAGUGUCGU